Molecule: unclassified non-coding RNA, 353 nt
Filed under: Hevea brasiliensis (rubber tree)
Lineage: Eukaryota; Viridiplantae; Streptophyta; Magnoliopsida; Malpighiales; Euphorbiaceae
Source: RNAcentral
UGGGCUUGUGGUUAACUUAUAUUGAUGAAAUUCUCAAAGUUCAUGAAGGACGGAAAUCAUACCAGAUUCGUGAAUGUCCUAAGCUUUCAGAGGAGAGAAUUUUGUGCAUUGGUUCCAGCAGGAAACGUCCUGUUCUAAAAUGGGAGAAUAACAUGGCGUGGCCAGGAAAAGUUAUUUUAACUGAUAAAGCACUUUAUUUUGAGGCUGUUGGUUUGGCUGGGCAGAAAGAUCCUAUAAGGUUUGAUCUUACUAGAAAAGGAAUACAGGUGGAGAAGACAAAGGUUGGACCUUUGGGUUAUGUGCUUUUUGAUUCUGCAGUCUCUAUUUCAUCUGGUCCCAACUCGGAGACAUGG